Molecule: non-coding RNA, 102 nt
Organism: Caerostris darwini
Lineage: Eukaryota; Metazoa; Arthropoda; Arachnida; Araneae; Araneidae
Source: the annotation of a GenBank genome assembly
AACGGCCAUACCAUGCUGAAUAUACCGUGUUCUCGUUAGAUCACUGAAGUUCAAGCGGUCAGUACUUGGGUGGGUGACCACCUGGGAACACCGCGUGCCGUU